AUGUCGUCGAGGGACCACUGGAUCCCGCCAUCAUUCCACCCACAAACCCUUCACGAGAGCAGGCAACGCCUCUUUGUAAGCCAACAUUGCCGAUGGAGGUGUCGAGCACCGGACUACUCCUAUACAUCUUCUUUGAAGCUCCACAACGACACUAGAGUACACAUUACCUCGAUAGGCGAGUUGGAGGAAAAAGCUCUAGGUCAUCUCUGUCGCCACGUUGACCCCUCUCGGAGAAACAUCAUCAUGGAUUCGUCGACGAUGGUGGAAUCUGGCAUGUUGGUCAAGGAUUUGGAGACACCUUAUUCGGUGGUGUUGUCAUCACUACCGAAGCCGAAGAUGAACCGAUUAAAAUCUACCAACGAAGAUAACCUACAACUGUAG
This 381-nucleotide ribosomal RNA is filed under the name Triticum aestivum (bread wheat). Its description in RNAcentral is "partial small subunit ribosomal RNA". The record is from RNAcentral. Lineage: Eukaryota; Viridiplantae; Streptophyta; Magnoliopsida; Poales; Poaceae.